GAUUAUAACCAACCGCUUCAUCUAACGGAAGGAUCAUAGACGAGGCCACGCGACAAGAGCGACCCGCGGACCGGUUGGACGAACCUCAGGGCGGGGGAGGGCGAGGGCGCGCCCGAGGCCUCCCACGUCAACCAAACCCCGGCGCCCCAGGCGCCAAGGAAACGAAAAUCUGAGCGGGGCGCGGCCCGGGAACGGCGCCGCGCCGCACGCCAUUUGCAUCCGAAACGACUCUCGGCAACGGAUAUCUCGGCUCUCGCAUCGAUGAAGAACGUAGCGAAAUGCGAUACUUGGUGUGAAUUGCAGAAUCCCGUGAACCAUCGAGUCUUUGAACGCAAGUUGCGCCCGAAGCCGUCAGGCCGAGGGCACGCCUGCCUGGGCGUCACGCAGCGUCGCCAGCUCCCGAUCCCACGGGCGCGGCGGAUGAUGGCCUCCCGGGAGCCCCGCCUCCCGGCUGGCCGAAAAAGGGGCCCAACGUGACGACCGCCACGAUCCACGGUGGUUGAGCGAGCACUCGCUCGAGGCCAAGACGUGCGCGCGCCGUCCCGCGUCGGGGGCCCGCCGGCAGGCACCACGCUGCCCGCCCGUACGCGACCCCAGGUCAGGCGGGGCUACCCGCUGAGUUUAAGCAU
This 629-nucleotide ribosomal RNA is filed under the name Acacia chartacea. RNAcentral describes it as "eukaryotic LSU rRNA". The stretch from base 227 to 382 matches the Rfam family "5.8S ribosomal RNA". Lineage: Eukaryota; Viridiplantae; Streptophyta; Magnoliopsida; Fabales; Fabaceae. The record is from RNAcentral.